CGGCGAGUGAAGCGGGAUGAGCUCAAAUUUGAAAGCUGGCACCUUCGGUGUCCGCAUUGUAAUCUCGAGAAGUAGUUUCUGUGUUGGGCCAUGUACAAGUUCCUUGGAAUAGGACAUCAGAGAGGGUGAGAAUCCCGUACUUGACAUGGAUUCCAAUGCUUUGUGAUCUGCUCUCUAUGAGUCGAGUUGUUUGGGAAUGCAGCUCAAAAUGGGUGGUAAAUUCCAUCUAAAGCUAAAUAUUGGGGAGAGACCGAUAGCGAACAAGUACCGUGAGGGAAAGAUGAAAAGCACUUUGGAAAGAGAGUUAAACAGUACGUGAAAUUGUCAAAAGGGAAGCGCUUGAGGUUAGACAUGCAUGCAGUAUUCAACCUUUCUUUUGAUGGGUGUAUUUGCUGUUUUGCAGGCCAGCAUCGGUUUUGUCUGCUGGAUAAUGGUAGGAGAAAUGUGGCAUCCUCGGAUGUGUUAUAGUCUCUUACUUGAUACAGUGGAUGGGACUGAGGACCGCAGUGUGCCGUAAGGCAGGCUCUUCGGAGUACUUUCACACUUAGGAUGCUGGCGUAAUGGCCUUA
This 569-nucleotide ribosomal RNA is filed under the name Golubevia pallescens. RNAcentral's name for it is "LSU rRNA". It matches the Rfam family "Eukaryotic large subunit ribosomal RNA", at positions 87 to 642 of the family's 3401-position model. The record is from RNAcentral. Lineage: Eukaryota; Fungi; Basidiomycota; Exobasidiomycetes; Golubeviales; Golubeviaceae.